AACGAACGCUAGCGGCAGGCCUAACACAUGCAAGUCGAGCGCCCCGCAAGGGGAGCGGCGGACGGGUGAGUAACGCGUGGGAAUAUGCCCUUUGCUACGGAAUAGUCUCGGGAAACUGGGGGUAAUACCGUAUACGCCCUUUGGGGGAAAGAUUUAUCGGCGAAGGAUUAGCCCGCGUUGGAUUAGGUAGUUGGUGGGGUAAUGGCCUACCAAGCCGACGAUCCAUAGCUGGUUUGAGAGGAUGAUCAGCCACACUGGGACUGAGACACGGCCCAGACUCCUACGGGAGGCAGCAGUGGGGAAUCUUAGACAAUGGGGGCAACCCUGAUCUAGCCAUGCCGCGUGAGUGAUGAAGGCCUUAGGGUUGUAAAGCUCUUUCAGCUGGGAAGAUAAUGACGGUACCAGCAGAAGAAGCCCCGGCUAACUCCGUG
RNAcentral lists this ribosomal RNA (431 nucleotides) under uncultured bacterium. Its description in RNAcentral is "partial 16S ribosomal RNA". It matches the Rfam family "Bacterial small subunit ribosomal RNA", at positions 29 to 507 of the family's 1533-position model. The record is from RNAcentral.